CUGACGUUGUUGCUAACUUUUAAUUACAAGUACUGAGAGUUGGUUUGUUCUAUAAUGAUGAAGUGAACAAUCUUUUUUACAGGUGUCAUGGUAGAAAAAGUUGUUUCCCUUAACCCUGAUUUCGUAACGUGUUUUCCAGAUCCUUGUCAAGACCUCAGGAUGAACUUAGCAACAGUCAUUAAUAGGGGCAGAUAUCCUGUUGAUAUGCAGGUGUCCUGUAAAGAAAUAUUGUCUUCCCUGACAACAAUGGUCUUGAUCUUGGAGUACUGCAAGCAUUCGGGUUCCUUCAAGAUCCUGAAGCACUUAACAGUGGUCGGUAAUGGGGGACAUUUCUUGUGUCCAGGUAAGCGGUGAUGUGUAUCUUUACCACAUCAGACCCUCUGAUCUCUCCAUGUGUGUG
This is a long non-coding RNA of Acinonyx jubatus (cheetah), 400 nucleotides long. RefSeq lists it as uncharacterized. The transcript has 3 exons. NCBI's taxonomy places the organism in Eukaryota, Metazoa, Chordata, Mammalia, Carnivora, Felidae. The record is from RefSeq and is a predicted model, not a curated record.